UAGCUGGUCUGAGAGGAUGACCAGCCACACUGGAACUGAGACACGGUCCAGACUCCUACGGGAGGCAGCAGUGGGGAAUAUUGCACAAUGGGGGCAAGCCUGAUGCAGCCAUCCCGCGUGUGUGAAGAAGGCCUUCGGGUUGUAAAGCACUUUCAGCGAGGAGGAAGGUGGUGAGCUUAAUACGCUCAUCAAUGACGUACU
Molecule: ribosomal RNA, 201 nt
Filed under: uncultured Serratia sp.
Lineage: Bacteria; Pseudomonadati; Pseudomonadota; Gammaproteobacteria; Enterobacterales; Yersiniaceae
Description: partial 16S ribosomal RNA
Rfam family: Bacterial small subunit ribosomal RNA
Source: RNAcentral